Molecule: long non-coding RNA, 434 nt
Filed under: Danio rerio (zebrafish)
Lineage: Eukaryota; Metazoa; Chordata; Actinopteri; Cypriniformes; Danionidae
Description: si:ch211-233b16.6 (ENSDARG00000102132.2)
Source: RNAcentral
CGCGCACAGACAGCAUGACAACCGCAGCCCGUCAGUAAAUUAAUUCACUGACAGAAAAACAGCAGCACCUGAUGCUACUCGGACAUACGAAACGAUGAUGUUUUUUAUUUUUAACACAAUUUACCUGAUCAAGCUGAGUUUUCAAGCCUUCUAAUUGUGGAAGAGACAAUUCAGUGAGAUUCACCGCCAUGUUGACAAUAAAAGAGGAUUCACCAUUAAACCUGGCCGUUCAGCACAUAAGAAUCACAUCAGAUCAGGUACGUCAGAUAUUUGUACGUCUCUGAAAACGCUGUCCCUGACAUUUUGAAGACUUAUGGGAACACCGAUUUCAGUGUUUACAGUCCUUGUUGCCUGUCGGUUUAUCCAUCAGUCUGCAGUGACAGAUGACCAAUUCAUGUUUUUCCUCCAUGUGUACUCCUUUACUAGCACAUCCC